GCAGACCUGCCGGUGCAGGCCAGGCACCAGGAAGUGUGAAAAUGCCGUGUUAAUGGCCACUGACUGUGGACACUCCUACAAGCUGUUCUUUGGAAGUCUGAUCUGGUUUGGCUGAAGGGCUGUGCCAGUAAGAACCACUUCCACCCAGCUGCUCUGCAGAAUUGGGGCAUCAGGAAGUUUGACAACGUGCUUUUCAUGAUCAUCAACAGAAAGUUUGUUGACUCAUGACCUAGAUGACUGCAAGAGCCUACAAUGAAGUCCCUCUGCAAACAGAAGCAAAAGGCACAGUCUGCUCCUCCUAAAGCAAGUCCACAUCUCUACUCCAGAAAAGAGCAAACUAUUUACAACUAUUUAAAUACAGCCUUUUCAUCUUAAAAAUUACAUUAAGUUUCUGGAAUUCUGAUAUACCCAAUUCCAAGGUAUAGUCAAGAGAAGAGAAGAGAUGGAAAGCCAUUUGGAAAAAGUGAUGGGGAAUUCAGGCAUCGGGUCAACACCAAGCGAAAGAAACAAUCAACAGAGUAAAAAGGCAACAUACAGAAUGGGAGAAAAUAUUUGCAAACCAAAGAUCUGACAAG
This 575-nucleotide long non-coding RNA is filed under the name Homo sapiens (human). Its description in RNAcentral is "HSALNT0354536". Lineage: Eukaryota; Metazoa; Chordata; Mammalia; Primates; Hominidae. The record is from RNAcentral.